AUGGCUGAGUUAUGAAAACAGUAGAAUAUCGCAUGACUGAGUUCAAGUAUAACGUUAAAACAGUGAGGAAAUAUCAAUAAAAAAUCCCCUAAGGGUUCGAAUAGUUGGCAUGAGGCCCAAGUAUGGCAUUCAUCCCAAAACAUGAUAUUAAAUAGUUUUCAAUCAAAUACGUGAUAAAAUAAUCAUUCGGGAUGGGCUAAGUCACAAUCCCCAACGGUGCACGACCUCACGAUUGUCAUCUAGCAUGUGUGUUACCUCAAUAUAGCACAACGAUGUGCAAUCUGGGGUUUCAUACCCUUAGAAAAACAUUUAUAAUCAUUACUCACCUCAAUCCGGUCCAAACUCUAGCCCGCUACGCCUUUGCCCCUUGAAUCGCCCUCAACUCGCGUCGAAUCUAUCCAAAAUUAGAAUCACGACGUCAAAAUAUGCUAAAGGAAUAAAUCCCAUACGAAAAUAAUCAAUUUACAAUAUAAAUGCCGAAAUUACUAAAACCCGACCCCCGGAACCACAUCUCAGAAUUCGAUAAAAUUCACAUCAAUAGAUUCCUUAUCUUUCCACGAGUUAAUACAUAUAAAAAGUCCCAAAAUUCGACCACAAAUGGCCCCUCAAAUUCUCAAGUGUAGGUCACUAAUACCAAGCCCUAGUUUCCCCAAUGUUUACCCUUAUUAUCCACUAAUACCAUGAUUAACUCAUGGAAAACCGAUCAUAAACUCAAGUAAUGAUGCAUAUGGUACUUACCCAACUGAUUGUCUUCGAUUUUCCCUUUAAUUCAGUGCCCUAGCUCGCUUCCCAUCUUCAAAAAUGGAGAACUUAGCCAAAAUCUCGCAAAGGAAACAUUAUAUACCUUCUGGCCCAGGGAUUCUGCAUCUGCGGCCAAAAUCUCGCUUCUACGGUACUGCUUCUACGGUUUUUCAC
Molecule: long non-coding RNA, 915 nt
Filed under: Nicotiana benthamiana
Lineage: Eukaryota; Viridiplantae; Streptophyta; Magnoliopsida; Solanales; Solanaceae
Description: long non-coding RNA (NBEN_LNC030872)
Source: RNAcentral